This 1146-nucleotide long non-coding RNA is filed under the name Setaria viridis. RNAcentral describes it as "long non-coding RNA (SVIR_LNC004291)". The record is from RNAcentral. Lineage: Eukaryota; Viridiplantae; Streptophyta; Magnoliopsida; Poales; Poaceae.
CCUAACAUGCGACACUCCUGCCUAGACCGAGCUAACACGAAGUGCCGUCGGAUUUCAUCCGAUUUAACCACUUAACAGGAUCGAGUUUAGCAAACCCACACGAAGGUGAGUGGUUACAGAGAAUACAACAAGUCCACUGAGUUAAACAAGUUUUACCCAUUUAGUUUGGCCAUAAAAUCCAACAUCAGAGUUUUACAAGAUUUCAAGAAAACAACAGGGAAACACUAGCGGAAGACUUCGUCGGGGUCGGAUGUCCGGGCGAGGCCAGCCAGAACAUCACUGAGUCCUCUCCUCGCCGUCCGAGGAGGGGUCCCACUCGACCGUCCAGCCUGGCGGGAGCUGGGGCGGCCAAGCACCAACCAGAGAGGGGUCGGACGCAGCAACUUCACCUGAAAACAGAAGCCACAACAAGGCUGAGCUACUAAGCUCAACAAGACUUAACCGAUAGGAGUAAGGGCUACUCCUCCUCCUAGACAUGCAAGCUGUUUGGCUGAGGGGUUUGUUUGCCAAAAGCACUAAGUAACCCUAUUUCAGUUUUUAGCUCCGGUUCUAUGUUCAUUUACAAGUCUAGGUUGUGCAACCUAUUCUAAGCAGUCAUAGAGCCAAACAAGAUGUGAAGAUAUAACAACAAACAUUGCCAUCAUCAGAUUCCUCAUUUACUCAGGGUGACAUAGCGAUCAAGCAAUCUCAAACUGUGAGAGGCAGACGAAUCGAUUCGAGUUCUUUAACCAUGCAUUGUGAACCUAGCCUCAUAACAUCCGCGCACCCGGAGGUCGCUUCCUGUGUCGGCCUUCCCCAUCAAUCCCCUAACCCGUGUCGGGCCCAUUUCCUUUGGUGCAAGGUUCCACAGACCCAGCCUCUGCCGUUCUGUGACCACACAUUGCCACCACGUGCGACAACCAGCAGGGGAAACUCCGUUCCAAGAACAAUGGGGCGACCGCUCACGUCUAGGUUCAAUCCGGUACUAAGCUUCCUCAUCCCAUACUAAGUAUGAGGCUAGUACUUUCAAACACUUGAUCACGAACACCACCACUGUCGGGCCUUAGCAAGAUUUCAUAGACAGACGGGGCGACCAUCCGACCACCAAAGAGUUACCCAAAACCCUGCCCCGUCCAUCGUCCUUAUAGUUAUAACAGGAGAGUAAAC